UACGUAGGUGGCAAGCGUUGUCCGGAUUUACUGGGCGUAAAGAGCGCGCAGGCGGUCAGAUAAGUCGAAUGUGAAAGCCCCCGGCUCAACUGGGGAGGGUCAUUCGAUACUGUUCGACUCGAAGGCAGAAGAGGGGAGUGGAAUUCCCGGUGUAGUGGUGAAAUGCGUAGAUAUCGGGAGGAACACCAGUGGCGAAGGCGACUUCCUGGCCUGUUCUUGACGCUGAGGCGCGAAAGCUAGGGUAGCAAACGGG
RNAcentral lists this ribosomal RNA (253 nucleotides) under uncultured bacterium. RNAcentral describes it as "partial 16S ribosomal RNA". It matches the Rfam family "Bacterial small subunit ribosomal RNA", at positions 524 to 776 of the family's 1533-position model. The record is from RNAcentral.